Molecule: small nuclear RNA, 42 nt
Filed under: Cervus elaphus hippelaphus
Lineage: Eukaryota; Metazoa; Chordata; Mammalia; Artiodactyla; Cervidae
Source: RNAcentral
CUUCUCAGCUGUUUGGCCAAGAUCAAGUGCAAUAUCUAUUCU